CCUACGUGAGGCAGCAGUGGGGAAUAUUGCACAAUGGGGGGAACCCUGAUGCAGCGACGCCGCGUGAGUGAAGAAGUAUUUCGGUAUGUAAAGCUCUAUCAGCAGGGAAGAAAAUGACGGUACCUGACUAAGAAGCCCCGGCUAACUACGUGCCAGCAGCCGCGGUAAUACGCAGGGGGCAAGCGUUAUCCGGAUUUACUGGGUGUAAAGGGAGCGCAGACGGCUGUGCAAGUCUGGAGUGAAAGGCGGGGGCCCAACCCCCGGACUGCUCUGGAAACUGUAAAGCUGGAGUGCAGGAGAGGUAAGCGGAAUUCCUAGUGUAGCGGUGAAAUGCGUAGAUAUUAGGAGGAACACCAGUGGCGAAGGCGGCUGACUGGACUGCAACUGACGUUGAGGCUCGAAAGCGUGGGGAGCAAACAGGAUUAGAUACCCUAGUAGUC
Molecule: ribosomal RNA, 440 nt
Filed under: uncultured bacterium
Lineage: Bacteria
Description: partial 16S ribosomal RNA
Rfam family: Bacterial small subunit ribosomal RNA
Source: RNAcentral